GUGGGGAAUAUUGGACAAUGGGGGGAACCCUGAUCCAGCCAUGCCGCGUGUGUGAAGAAGGCCUUUUGGUUGUAAAGCACUUUAAGUGGGGAGGAGGCUUACCUGGUUAAUACCUGGGCUAAGUGGACGUUACCCACAGAAUAAGCACCGGCUAACUCUGUGCCAGCAGCCGCGGUAAUACAGAGGGUGCGAGCGUUAAUCGGAUUUACUGGACGUAAAGCGCGCGUAGGUGGUUAAUUAAGUCAAAUGUGAAAUCCCCGAGCUUAACUUGGGAAUUGCAUUCGAUACUGGUUAGCUAGAGUAUGGGAGAGGAUGGUAGAAUUCCAGGUGUAGCGGUGAAAUGCGUAGAGAUCUGGAGGAAUACCGAUGGCGAAGGCAGCCAUCUGGCCUAAUACUGACACUGAGGUGCGAAAGCAUGGGGAGCAAACAGGAUUAGAUACCCGGGUAGUCC
This 451-nucleotide ribosomal RNA is filed under the name uncultured bacterium. RNAcentral describes it as "partial 16S ribosomal RNA". It matches the Rfam family "Bacterial small subunit ribosomal RNA", at positions 354 to 796 of the family's 1533-position model. The record is from RNAcentral.